Molecule: long non-coding RNA, 1454 nt
Organism: Notolabrus celidotus (New Zealand spotty)
Lineage: Eukaryota; Metazoa; Chordata; Actinopteri; Labriformes; Labridae
Exons: 2
Source: RefSeq, a predicted model, not a curated record
GGCACGAAUUGUAAUGCUGCAUUUAAUAAACUUUGGAAGAAUGAAUUUCCAACUAUUAGAUAUAGUUUGAUAUUUUGUAUUAUAAAAUUGUAGUAUUAUAGUUGAUUAUGAGUUUUGUUGUUGUACACUUAGUCUUCUGUAGUUAUUUACCUUCCUUGAGGUUAGUUUAGCUCACUCAGCUGCCCUGUAUUCCUCUGAUUAAAAAGGUUCCCAGUCUGAUCUUCGGAUUAAUGACUUUACGUGAACGCAACGCGUGACAGGUAACUCGUGGCGCGCGGACGCAGCUGAGGACAGCAAACCGCAGAGAAGGAACUGAAGUUAGUUUCCUGCAGCCGUGCAAACAAAGACAUUCUCUGUCAGAAGGAUAAUUUUUGGGACAGUUCUGUGAAAGGACACUUUGUGGAUAUUUUGAGGAUUAAAACGCUGCAGGAACUGUGACGCUGGAGUUGCAGACGGAGGACGCACAAGACGAGAGUGCAGCCAGAAAGAAGACCCAACCUGCUGCUGCCAUGGUCCUUAAUCCAGUAAAAGGAAACAGAAACACCUGAAUGAUCUCUCAGACCUGGCUCACGUCCACUAAGCCGGCAGUAAAUAAGGGUGCUGCACACAGUCCCUGGAGGGUAAACUGGCUCCCAAUAAAGGGAAGUGAAAGAAGCAGUUCAGACGAAGCAGGGAGUAAACACUCCAAGUAAAACCCCAGGAAGUUCCAGUGAGAGGCUUUUUGGAAAAGGAGCUCUCUGUUUGUAUAUGAAGCUUUCUUCAUCUCUUCAUCUAUCUCUCUGUCUUUGUCAAUCAUUACAGUACUUCUGUUUUAAAUCUGCACCCUGGUGUUUCUAUAAUAUUGUUUUGGACUAAGCUACAAUUUAAAUCCCUUUCUUUGCAGUAAAGACUCGACUGACUGUACUUUCAGAACGAUUUAAACUCACCUUGUUAAGUGCUGAGAAUAAAAAACCACCCUCUUCUUACUUCUGUUAGGCUGCUGGGUUUUUCCACCUCCUACCUCCACAUCAUUUUAUACCACUAACCCCCGACUGACUUUCCACUUCACAUAGGAACAAGCAGCACCUACUUCACAGUAAAGGUGCGUUGCAAUGAUACCCUCCCCUGACUCAAUCGAGCUUCUUCUUAAAUGUAGGCCACUUGACCUCGAUUGCUUCAGAUCUGAAUGUGACAGCCGCUGACUUUCCCCCUACGAUAAAACCUCCCAAAGUUCGUUGAUUUUUUUCACAACCUCCCGCUUAAAACAGAAAGUCUUUGCUGACACUGGCUUAUUAUUUUAAUACAUUUAAACUGACUAAGGUAACAAUUUCAUUUCUGAAAUCACAGCCUACUGUCUCAUGUUAGCUUCAUUAUUGUGAAAUGUUCAGUGUUUUCAGUCCCUUCACUUUUACACAACAUUAUGUAGAAUCUUGACAAUGUGCUCCCCAAUAUUGCAUAAAAGGUGUUUAGCAGAA